UAAUGAUUGACUGAACAGGCAUCUGCAUUCUGCGGACUUGCCGGGCUUGGUGCAACCGGGCAGCAGUUUGAUUUUUGGAAAGAAUUUCAGCCUGCGGGACAGAC
This 104-nucleotide non-coding RNA is filed under the name unclassified sequences. Its description in RNAcentral is "NiCo sequence". It matches the Rfam family "NiCo (Nickel/Cobalt) riboswitch aptamer". The record is from RNAcentral.